This 241-nucleotide ribosomal RNA is filed under the name uncultured Actinomycetales bacterium. RNAcentral describes it as "partial 16S ribosomal RNA". It matches the Rfam family "Bacterial small subunit ribosomal RNA", at positions 89 to 334 of the family's 1533-position model. Lineage: Bacteria; Bacillati; Actinomycetota; Actinomycetes; Actinomycetales. The record is from RNAcentral.
ACUCGAGUGGCGAACGGGUGAGUAACACGUGGGUGAUCUGCCCUGCACUUCGGGAUAAGCUUGGGAAACUGGGUCUAACACCGGAUAGGAGCCAUCUUUAGUGUGGUGGUUGGAAAGUUUUUCGGUGUAGGAUGAGCUCGCGGCCUAUCAGCUUGUUGGUGGGGUAAUGGCCUACCAAGGCGGCGACGGGUAGCCGGCCUGAGAGGGUGUACGGCCACAUUGGGACUGAGAUACGGCCCAG